This 496-nucleotide ribosomal RNA is filed under the name uncultured bacterium. RNAcentral's name for it is "partial 16S ribosomal RNA". It matches the Rfam family "Bacterial small subunit ribosomal RNA", at positions 28 to 506 of the family's 1533-position model. The record is from RNAcentral.
GAUGAACGCUGGCGGCGUGCCUAAUACAUGCAAGUCGAGCGAACAGAUGAGGAGCUUGCUCCUCUGACGUUAGCGGCGGACGGGUGAGUAACACGUGGAUAACCUACCUAUAAGACUGGGAUAACUUCGGGAAACCGGAGCUAAUACCGGAUAAUAUAUUGAACCGCAUGGUUCAAUAGUGAAAGACGGUUUUGCUGUCACUUAUAGAUGGAUCCGCGCCGCAUUAGCUAGUUGGUAAGGUAACGGCUUACCAAGGCAACGAUGCGUAGCCGACCUGAGAGGGUGAUCGGCCACACUGGAACUGAGACACGGUCCAGACUCCUACGGGAGGCAGCAGUAGGGAAUCUUCCGCAAUGGGCGAAAGCCUGACGGAGCAACGCCGCGUGAGUGAUGAAGGUCUUCGGAUCGUAAAACUCUGUUAUUAGGGAAGAACAAAUGUGUAAGUAACGAUGCACGUCUUGACGGUACCUAAUCAGAAAACCACGGCUAACUACGU